RNAcentral lists this ribosomal RNA (489 nucleotides) under uncultured bacterium. RNAcentral's name for it is "partial 16S ribosomal RNA". It matches the Rfam family "Bacterial small subunit ribosomal RNA", at positions 30 to 506 of the family's 1533-position model. The record is from RNAcentral.
AUUGAACGCUGGCGGCAGGCCUAACACAUGCAAGUCGAACGGUAACAGGAAGCAGCUUGCUGCUUCGCUGACGAGUGGCGGACGGGUGAGUAAUGUCUGGGAAGCUGCCUGAUGGAGGGGGAUAACUACUGGAAACGGUAGCUAAUACCGCAUAAUGUCGCAAGACCAAAGAGGGGGACCUUCGGGCCUCUUGCCAUCGGAUGUGCCCAGAUGGGAUUAGCUUGUUGGUGGGGUAACGGCUCACCAAGGCGACGAUCCCUAGCUGGUCUGAGAGGAUGACCAGCCACACUGGGACUGAGACACGGUCCAGACUCCUACGGGAGGCAGCAGUGGGGAAUAUUGCACAAUGGGCGCAAGCCUGAUGCAGCCAUGCCGCGUGUAUGAAGAAGGCCUUCGGGUUGUAAAGUACUUUCAGCGGGGAGGAAGGGAGUAAAGUUAAUACCUGUGCUCAUUGACGUUACCCGCAGAAGAAGCACCGGCUAACUCCGU